RNAcentral lists this ribosomal RNA (468 nucleotides) under uncultured bacterium. Its description in RNAcentral is "partial 16S ribosomal RNA". It matches the Rfam family "Bacterial small subunit ribosomal RNA", at positions 28 to 507 of the family's 1533-position model. The record is from RNAcentral.
GACGAACGCUGGCGGCGUGCUUAACACAUGCAAGUCGAACGGAAAGGCCCUGCUUUUGUGGUGUGCUCGAGUGGCGAACGGGUGAGUAACACGUGAGUAACCUGCCCUUGACUUUGGGAUAACUUCAGGAAACUGGGGCUAAUACCGGAUAGGAGCUCCUGCUGCAUGGUGGGGGUGGGAAAGUUUCGGCGGGUGGGGAUGGACUCGCGGCUUAUCAGCUUGCUGGUGGGGUAGUGGUUUACCAAGGCUUUGACGGGUAGCCGGCAUGAGAGGGUGACCGGCCACAUUGGGACUGAGAUACGGACCAGACUGCUACGGGAGGCAGCGGUGGGGAAUAUUGCACAAUGGGCGGAAGCCUGAUGCAGCAACGCCGCGUGCGGGAUGACGGCCUGCGGGUUGUAAACCGCUUUCGCCUGUGACGAAGCGUGAGUGACGGUAAUGGGUAAAGAAGCACCGGCUAACUACGUG